CCUUCGAUAGCUCAGUUGGUAGAGCGGUGGACUGUAGCACGAAAAGAUGGUUGGCUGGCGGCUAGCAAGGUUGAUCGUCGAACAGUGACGUAACUGAUCCACUGAUCCGAUCGACUCUGAGUCAUCAGCCAACAGAAACAAUAGAAAUCCAUAGGUCACUGGUUCAAAUCCGGUUCGAAGGA
Molecule: transfer RNA, 182 nt
Organism: Anopheles darlingi
Lineage: Eukaryota; Metazoa; Arthropoda; Insecta; Diptera; Culicidae
Rfam family: tRNA
About the family: Transfer RNA (tRNA) molecules are approximately 80 nucleotides in length.
Source: Rfam